RNAcentral lists this ribosomal RNA (484 nucleotides) under uncultured bacterium. RNAcentral's name for it is "partial 16S ribosomal RNA". It matches the Rfam family "Bacterial small subunit ribosomal RNA", at positions 29 to 507 of the family's 1533-position model. The record is from RNAcentral.
AGUGAACGCUGGCGGCAGGCCUAACACAUGCAAGUCGAGCGGCAGCACGGAGCUUGCUCCCGCAUACAGCGGCGGACGGGCGAGUAAUUCCUAGGAAUCUGCCUGGUUGUGGGGGAUAACGUGCGGAAACGGGCGCUAAUACCGCAUAAGUCCUGAGGGAGAAAGUGGGGGAGCUUCGGACCUCACGCCAUCAGAUGAGCCUAUGUCGGAUUAGCUAGUUGGUGGGGUAAAGGCCUACCAAGGCGACGAUCCGUAGCUGGUCUGAGAGGAUGAUCAGUCACACUGGAACUGAGACACGGUCCAGACUCCUACGGGAGGCAGCAGUGGGGAAUAUUGGACAAUGGGCGCAAGCCUGAUCCAGCCAUGCCGCGUGUGUGAAGAAGGUCUUCGGGUUGUAAAGCACUUUAGGUUGGAAAGAAAGGCAGUAAGUUAAUACCUUGCUGUUUUGACGGUACCAAAAGAAUAAGCACCGGCUAACUUCGUG